GAAGGUAUAGCUCAGUGGUAGAGCACGUGCUGAGCAUGUGCGAGGUCCUGGGUUCAAUCCCCAGUACCUCCA
RNAcentral lists this transfer RNA (72 nucleotides) under Camelus bactrianus (Bactrian camel). It matches the Rfam family "tRNA". From Rfam's summary of the family: Transfer RNA (tRNA) molecules are approximately 80 nucleotides in length. The record is from Rfam by way of RNAcentral. RNAcentral also lists the same sequence under 2 other names. Lineage: Eukaryota; Metazoa; Chordata; Mammalia; Artiodactyla; Camelidae.